RNAcentral lists this ribosomal RNA (322 nucleotides) under uncultured eukaryote. RNAcentral's name for it is "partial 18S ribosomal RNA". It matches the Rfam family "Eukaryotic small subunit ribosomal RNA", at positions 1470 to 1796 of the family's 1831-position model. The record is from RNAcentral.
CCCUUAGAUGUUCUGAGCCGCACGCGUGCUACACUGAGUGGAUCAGCGGGUCAGGUUACGCGAGAGCGUUUCCUAAUCUUCAAAUCCGCUCGUGAUGGGGAUUGACGGUUGCAAUUUUCCGUCAUGAACGAGGAAUACCUUGUAAGCGCGGGUCAUCAUCCCGCGCUGAAUACGUCCCUGCCCUUUGUACACACCGCCCGUCGCUCCUACCGAUUGAGUGGUCCGGUGAGGCUUUGGGAUCUAAGCGAAAAGAGCGUUUCGCUCCUUUUGCUGGGAGAACUCAGUCGAACCUUAUCAUUUAGAGGAAGGAGAAGUCGUAACA